Molecule: long non-coding RNA, 211 nt
Filed under: Capsicum annuum
Lineage: Eukaryota; Viridiplantae; Streptophyta; Magnoliopsida; Solanales; Solanaceae
Description: long non-coding RNA (CANN_LNC008673)
Source: RNAcentral
UUUUAAUUGUAAAAGCAUGUUGGUUGUGUGAAUUGCUACUUUCUAGACUCCUAGGUUCAUUUUUGUGACUCUUGUACUUGUUGGCUUAAUUUGAAUUCAUGCUAUCAUUUGGUUGAGAGUCUAUGAUGAUCAUAUGUGAGAUGAGGAUGUGCCAUGUGAGUGUAAGGCAUUUGUAUAUUCCCUGUGGCAUGUGAUGUCUAGAACUUUCCCG